Molecule: ribosomal RNA, 434 nt
Filed under: uncultured bacterium
Lineage: Bacteria
Description: partial 16S ribosomal RNA
Rfam family: Bacterial small subunit ribosomal RNA
Source: RNAcentral
AGCGAACGCUGGCGGCAGGCCUAACACAUGCAAGUCGAACGAACCUUUCGGGGUUAGUGGCGGACGGGAGCGUAACACGUGGGAACGUGCCUUUAGGUUCGGAAUAACUCAGGGAAACUUGUGCUAAUACCGAAUGUGCCCUUCGGGGGAAAGAUUCAUCGCCUUUAGAGCGGCCCGCGUCUGAUUAGCUAGUUGGUUGAGGUAAUGGCCCACCAAGGCGACGAUCAGUAGCUGGUCUGAGAGGAUGGUCAGCCACAUUGGGACUGAGACACGGCCCAAACUCCUACGGGAGGCAGCAGUGGGGAAUCUUGCGCAACGGGCGAAAGCCUGACGCAGCCAUGCCGCGUGAAUGAUGAAGGUCUUAGGAUUGUAAAAGUCUUUCACCGGGGACGAUAAUGACGGUACCCGGAGAAGAAGCCCCGGCUAACUACGUG